CAUUAUUGAAUAAACUUGAUCAGGUUGUUGCUGGCCUUUUGAAGGCAUGUGUGCACACUUGUCAUCUUUAUUUCUCCAACUGUGCACAUAUUGUAGACCAUGGAUGUUGUUGCUAAAUAGCAGAUUUGAGAAGUGCUCAGCUUUCUCUUAUGCAGGUCUAUGUUAUCCAUCCUUUUACACACUGUUUUAGAAUGUUUAUUUUGGAAAAUACAAAUGUACAACUUUCAGCAACGGAUCUCUUGGUUCUCGCAUCGAUGAAGAACGCAGCGAAAUGCGAUAAGUAAUGUGAAUUGCAGAAUUCAGUGAAUCAUCGAAUCUUUGAACGCAACUUGCGCUCCUUGGUACUCUGAGGAGCAUGCCUGUUUGAGUGUCAUUAAACUCCUUCUCAACCCAUCCAGUUUCUCUGUGUGUGGGCUUUGGACAUUGGGGGCUUGCUGGUUGCUAUUUUUCCAGCUCUCCUGAAAAGCAUCAGCAGCAUCAGGGGCUGCUUGCAGGUGUGAUAACUUGUCUACACCUUUGCAGUGGCUGCAUUUGUGCUGCUUUAGAGGGCAUUGAUGAAAUUUGACCUCAAAUCAGGUAGGACUACCCGCUGAACU
Molecule: ribosomal RNA, 596 nt
Filed under: uncultured Inocybe
Lineage: Eukaryota; Fungi; Basidiomycota; Agaricomycetes; Agaricales; Cortinariaceae
Description: eukaryotic LSU rRNA
Rfam family: 5.8S ribosomal RNA (bases 220-373)
Source: RNAcentral